RNAcentral lists this transfer RNA (74 nucleotides) under Loxodonta africana (African savanna elephant). It matches the Rfam family "tRNA". Rfam says of the family: Transfer RNA (tRNA) molecules are approximately 80 nucleotides in length. Their secondary structure includes four short double-helical elements and three loops (D, anti-codon, and T loops). The record is from Rfam by way of RNAcentral. Lineage: Eukaryota; Metazoa; Chordata; Mammalia; Proboscidea; Elephantidae.
CCCUGGGAGGAGCAAUCGGUUAACUCACUUGGCUGCUAACCAAAAGGUUGGAGGUUCAAGUCCACCCUGAGGCA